This is a long non-coding RNA of Spodoptera frugiperda (fall armyworm), 662 nucleotides long. RefSeq lists it as uncharacterized. The transcript is spliced from 2 exons. The record is from RefSeq and is a predicted model, not a curated record. NCBI's taxonomy places the organism in Eukaryota, Metazoa, Arthropoda, Insecta, Lepidoptera, Noctuidae.
ACGAAGAAAAUCUCAGUACUCAGUGGCAUGAUAGAUGAAUUAUGUAAGGGGUGUGUCGUAUUAAUUUGCAUUGUUAAAGUUGUGAGAAUAUAAUGUGUUGUAUUAAUUAAGCAAGAAUCGAAUACUACAACUGCAAGAUAUAACGUAUGAAUGUAUAACCAAUGAAUUGCAUCCAAUUAUCAAUGGUUAAAACUUGACUCAUCAGAUUAUUGAACUUGUACAAAUUUAAAGGUGAUGCAUAAAUACCAAUGUCCUGAAUGAUAUUGAAGAAAUGAAUUAUUUUCUCGUUUUUUGUACCUCUCAUAGAGUUUAAUUCCCCCUUGGUAAUCAAAGAUUUGGUAUAAAACGUCGCGUUUAUUCCUCAAAGUUAUCAGUUCAAUUUGUAAAUUGCAACUAAAUAACAACAAUGAAAUUCUUUGCCUUCAUCACGAUGUUCGUGUGUGCCAUGUUGGCUCUGGCCAGCGGUGCAGGUGUGGUCAGACAGGUGCGCAGCCCUGUGCCCAUUGAUGAUGCAGCACCUAGCCCUCAUCAUCACCAUCACUACCACCAUCACCACUACGGAUACGGCUACGGAUACCACUGAUGUGGAAUUGAUUGGCUUCUGAUUUAUUAAAAGUGUAUUGUUUAGUAUGUGGUAUAAUAAUAAAAUAUUUUGUAGUUAA